This 373-nucleotide ribosomal RNA is filed under the name uncultured organism. Its description in RNAcentral is "partial 16S ribosomal RNA". It matches the Rfam family "Bacterial small subunit ribosomal RNA", at positions 527 to 896 of the family's 1533-position model. The record is from RNAcentral.
GUAGGUGGCAAGCGUUGUCCGGAAUUAUUGGGCGUAAAGCGCGCGCAGGCGGUCCUUUAAGUCUGAUGUGAAAGCCCACGGGCUCAACCGUGGAGGGUCAUUGGAAACUGGGGGACUUGAGUACAGAAGAGGAAAGCGGAAUUCCACGUGUAGCGGUGAAAUGCGUAGAGAUGUGGAGGAACACCAGUGGCGAAGACGGCUUUCUGGUCUGUAACUGACGCUGAGGCGCGAAAGCGUGGGGAGCAAACAGGAUUAGAUACCCUGGUAGUCCACGCCGUAAACGAUGAGUGCUAAGUGUUAGGGGGUUUCCGCCCCUUAGUGCUGCAGCUAACGCAUUAAGCACUCCGCCUGGGGAGUACGGCCGCAAAGGCUG